GUCUGAGGCAGGAGAAUUGCUUGAACCUGGGAGGCAGAGGUUGCAGUGAGCCAAAAUCACGUCUACAUAAAAACUGAAAACAAUGGGGUUCUGAUAGCUCAACAUGUGGAGGUUCCCAGAGUGGUGAGCUUGCAGAGGGCACAAAAGCUUCACAUCCCUUCCUAUAUGCCUUGCCCUACGCAUGGUAUCACCUAACCCACAACAAAUAACCCCACCCUCCCUAAUUUCAUUUCUUUAUUUUUUGUAUUUUUAAUAGAGACGGGGUUUCACCGUGUUAGCCAGGAUGGUCUCGAUCUCCUGACCUCGUGAU
RNAcentral lists this long non-coding RNA (310 nucleotides) under Pan troglodytes (chimpanzee). Its description in RNAcentral is "long non-coding RNA NONPTRT001402". Lineage: Eukaryota; Metazoa; Chordata; Mammalia; Primates; Hominidae. The record is from RNAcentral.